AACGAACGCUGGCGGCAGGCUUAACACAUGCAAGUCGAACGCCCGUAGCAAUACGGGAGUGGCGGACGGGUGAGUAACGCGUGGGAACGUACCCUGAGGUACGGAAUAACCGAGGGAAACUUCGGCUAAUACCGUAUGAGCCCCGCAAGGGGGAAAGAUUUAUCGCCUUGGGAGCGGCCCGCGUCGGAUUAGCUAGUUGGUGGGGUAACGGCCUACCAAGGCUUCGAUCCGUAGCUGGUCUGAGAGGACGAUCAGCCACACUGGGACUGAGACACGGCCCAGACUCCUACGGGAGGCAGCAGUGGGGAAUCUUGCGCAAUGGGGGCAACCCUGAUCCAGCCAUGCCGCGUGAGUGAAGAAGGCCCUCGGGUUGUAAAGCUCUUUUGUCCGGAAAGAAAAGCAAUCGGUUAAUACCCGGUUGUUCUGACGGUACCGGAAGAAUAAGCACCGGCUAACUUCGUGCCAGCAGCCGCGGUAAAGCGUAU
Molecule: ribosomal RNA, 485 nt
Filed under: uncultured bacterium
Lineage: Bacteria
Description: bacterial SSU rRNA
Rfam family: Bacterial small subunit ribosomal RNA
Source: RNAcentral